GACGAACGCUGGCGGCGUGCCUAAUACAUGCAAGUUGAGCGCUGAAGGUUGGUACUUGUACCAACUGGAUGAGCAGCGAACGGGUGAGUAACGCGUGGGGAAUCUGCCUUUGAGCGGGGACAACAUUUGGAAACGAAUGCUAAUACCGCAUAAAAACUUUAAACACCAGUUUUAAGUUUGAAAGAUGCAAUUGCAUCACUCAAAGAUGAUCCCGCGUUGUAUUAGCUAGUUGGUGAGGUAAAGGCUCACCAAGGCGAUGAUACAUAGGCGACCGGAGAGGGUGAUCGGCCACAUUGGGACUGAGACACGGCCCAAACUCCUACGGGAGGCAGCAGUAGGGAAUCUUGGGCAAUGGACGAAAGUCUGACCGAGCAACGCCGCGUGAGUGAAGAAGGUUUUCGGAUCGUAAAACUCGGUUGGUAGAGAAGAACGUGGGUGAGAGUGGAAAGCUCAUCAAGUGACGGUAACGACCCAGAAAGGGACGGCUAACUACGUG
RNAcentral lists this ribosomal RNA (496 nucleotides) under uncultured bacterium. RNAcentral describes it as "partial 16S ribosomal RNA". It matches the Rfam family "Bacterial small subunit ribosomal RNA", at positions 28 to 507 of the family's 1533-position model. The record is from RNAcentral.